Molecule: long non-coding RNA, 1252 nt
Organism: Zea mays
Lineage: Eukaryota; Viridiplantae; Streptophyta; Magnoliopsida; Poales; Poaceae
Exons: 2
Source: RefSeq, marked validated
GAAGCGAAAGCACCGAAACAAUCGACCAAUCCUGCUCUCGCAUCUGAAUCCAACGCAGGCGAAGCGUCGCGAGUCCAGGUAAGUAGCCGCAACUAGGAUCAACGCAUCUGCAUUCUCGUCCGAAUACCGCAGUAGAUUCAUGCACGCACACCGUCUUGAUCCGAGAACCAUGGGAUUGAGGCGCAAGAGGGGGGAGAUUCAUCAGAUCAAUCUGUGGAGAAGUACUUCAGUGCUGCUCGCCCGUGGCCCUGGGAAACCAUUUACCUAUCGCGGGCGUAAGGAAGGUCCAAUAUCUAGUGAGAAUUAUGCUAAGCCACUUGAGCAGAACAGAGAAUUUGGUAUCGUGGAUCAGUGUGUCAGAAGCAGCAGUGUGGCUGGUACGGUGGGAACGAACUUGAUAUCGUGCAUUUGGAUGGAAGUGAACUUGAUAUCGUGCAUCCUUUUUCAAAGCUCAAUGAAACAACCGGUUACAAGCCACAUAAUCCUUCUGGGCUAUCUUCUGCUGCCGCGCGCAGCAAAAGUCGCCUGACGCUGGCACACCCUGCAUUAGUUUGCAUUGGUGAAUUCUGGUCGAUUGUGACUACUGGUGACUGGUGACGGGCAACAGCUCGUUCUGACUCUCUGCCCUGCCAUAUGCUCAUCAGCUCAUGGCGCAGCAAAGCACGUGUUUUAGUUUAAUUUUGUCAUACAUUACAUACAUUCGACUGGGAUCAUCUCAUACGGACGCAUCAUCAUCAAUGGCCGGUGACAUCAGAGGUUUGGUAGACGUUGCAUCCAUUUCUUCCUGCCCCGGCCGGCCGUCGAGGGUUUUGGUUUCUCGUGCCGGCUUCCGCUUCAGCCCAUUAGUACGUCCCAUUAUUCAUGCCGACGCUGAAGGGCGUGCCAUCCCGUUGGCCCUCCUUCCGUACGUGGGCUUCGCUAUUUUUACAACCAGAAGCAAGCACCGGAGCGUUGUCUGGCACUGGGAGAGAAAGUGAAGCUGCCUGCUAGCUAGAUGUGGGAACGUUCGGUUCUUGAAAGGUCACUCUUCAAGCGCAGUUAGGGCGUGUUUGCGACCCUGUAUCUAUCUGGUCGGCUCGGCUCGUUCAACUGGUCUAGCUACUGUAACUUAAUUUGUUUGCACACUGAUACCGUAUGAGACUACUCUGAUUCAGAUGAACCGAAUGACACCAUUGAGCCAGGGUUUUCUUUAGUUAUUAGAAUAUCAAGGCUCGUAAUAUACAAUCUAUAUCUAUAUACAUAUAUGAAUUGG